This 342-nucleotide unclassified non-coding RNA is filed under the name soil metagenome. Its description in RNAcentral is "partial contains 5.8S ribosomal RNA, internal transcribed spacer 2, and large subunit ribosomal RNA". The stretch from base 1 to 120 matches the Rfam family "5.8S ribosomal RNA", at positions 35 to 154 of the family's 154-position model. The record is from RNAcentral.
GAUGAAGAACGUAGCGAAAUGCGAUAAGUAAUGUGAAUUGCAGAAUCCAGUGAAUCAUCGAAUCUUUGAACGCACAUUGCGCCCGCCAGCAUUCUGGCGGGCAUGCCUGUUCGAGCGUCAUUUCAACCCUCGACCUCCCCUUGGGGAGGUCGGCGUUGGGGACCGGCAGCACACCGCCGGCCCUGAAAUGGAGUGGCGGCCCGUCCGCGGCGACCUCUGCGUAGUAAUACAGCUCGCACCGGAACCCCGACGCGGCCACGCCGUAAAACACCCAACUUCUGAACGUUGACCUCGAAUCAGGUAGGACUACCCGCUGAACUUAAGCAUAUCAUAAGCGGAGGA